Lactuca sativa (garden lettuce) is the source of this 889-nucleotide long non-coding RNA. RefSeq lists it as uncharacterized. Lineage: Eukaryota; Viridiplantae; Streptophyta; Magnoliopsida; Asterales; Asteraceae. The record is from RefSeq and is a predicted model, not a curated record.
AAAAGCAGAGACAAUUGUUUCAUCGAAAUGUUCAAAGUAUCCGGCCUCUCAUCAACACAUUUCUCUCAUAGUUUGCCCUAAAUCAACACACCAACCAUCGACACUUCAGCACUAGCAUAGCUCCACCCACCGACAGUUUAGCACCUCCUCUUGCCGGCUCAUUGACGUCGCUCCAUCCCCCUCCGUCGACGCACCUCCUUACGUCGGCAUGGGAGUUUAGACCUAAUCGCAUCGCAUCGCCAUUUGGACCUAAUCGAAUAUGUACAAUUCACACCGAUGCAUAGAUCGUAGUCAUAUCUCUAUUCGUCUCUCCUUCUCCGUUCAUCGCGUCUACCAUUUCUUGUCAUUGCGUUUCUGGGAUGGUGAAAGCCUUUGCAGUAAAGAAUGGAUAUGAUUUGGAUUCAAGUCAACAGUUGUUUGGCCUUGGAGUAGCAACUUUUCUUGGGUCCUUUUUCUUAGUAUACCCUGCAACAUGUGAGAUUUCUUGUUAUUCUUCGCAUUAAAUCAUGUAUGGGUAAAGUGGCUGAAUCGGCAAUGAUGUCUAAAUAAAGUGUUGUUAUACAUAAGGUUUGUCUUUUUUCUAGACCGAAUAAAUCAUUUUGAAUGAGACUAAAUGACCAUUUUACCUUGCAUUAAAAAACAAAUUUCACGAUAAAUCAAUUAUAUCAUGAGAGGAAAAAAGAAGGGAAAAUAGUUAACUAGUUAGUGGCUUAAUGCAAGAAGCCAAUUUUUUUCCGACUUAACUCAUCAAGUCAUUCUUUCGCGAUUAGGUAAAAAAGAAAGUCUUGUAUAGCUUCUUGUGCUUAACAAUUAAGGAGAUUAAGCCAAAACAAAACAAGUGAUAUAACUUAAUAAUACAUGGAAAAUUUUAGUAGAUGCUUAAAUCAUA